RNAcentral lists this unclassified non-coding RNA (200 nucleotides) under Clavulina sp. RNAcentral's name for it is "partial internal transcribed spacer 2". The record is from RNAcentral. Lineage: Eukaryota; Fungi; Basidiomycota; Agaricomycetes; Cantharellales; Hydnaceae.
UUAAGUUCAGCGGGUAGUCCCACCUGAUUCGAGGUCAAACUGAAAAAUGGAACGGAUCGUUAUUAGCAACCCAUAAACCAGAUUAGAGAGCAACCCAAACGAGAAUUGGCCACCCCGAAAGAUGUCCUCAGCGGUCAGUUUAUUAUCACGCUGAGUAGAACCAAUGCCAUCAUGAGGGUCAGCUAAUGCUUUUAAGGCCA